GAGGGGUUGUGGGUUCGAGUCCCACAACCCCUCAGCUUGUUGAGCUGAGGGGUUGUGGGUUCGAGUCCCACAACCCCUCA
Merluccius polli (Benguela hake) is the source of this 80-nucleotide non-coding RNA. NCBI's taxonomy places the organism in Eukaryota, Metazoa, Chordata, Actinopteri, Gadiformes, Merlucciidae. The record is from the annotation of a GenBank genome assembly.